UCAGAUUGUGUUUCAGAUGCAGCGAUUGCUGGAGACAAGUUGUAACACAGAUCCUGGCUCCCCUUGGAGUAUCAGAUUCACCUGGGAGCCUAACUUCUGGACCAAGCAGCUAGCUUCUCUUGGCUGCAUAACUACUGAAGGUGGACAAAUGUCCAGGGCAGAUGCUCCUGCUUAUGGAGGCUUACAGGGGUCAUCACCCUUUUAUCAAAGCCACCAGUCUCCAGUGGCUCAGCAAGAGGCUCUUAGCCACCCCUCACACAAGUUCCAGUCUCCAGCAGUGUGCUCCUCAUCUGUGUGCUGCUCCCACUGCUCCCCAGUCUCGCCUUCCCUCAAAGGCCAGGUCCCCCCACCCAGCAUACACCCAGCCCACAGCUUCAGGCAGCCCUCUGAGAUGGUGCCCCAGCAGCUGGGGUCUCUGCAGUGCUCUGCCCUGCUGCCCAGGGAGAAAGAGCUGGCCUGCAGCCCUCAUCCACCAAAGCUGCUGCAGCCCUGGCUGGAA
This 499-nucleotide long non-coding RNA is filed under the name Pan troglodytes (chimpanzee). RNAcentral describes it as "long non-coding RNA NONPTRT002958". Lineage: Eukaryota; Metazoa; Chordata; Mammalia; Primates; Hominidae. The record is from RNAcentral.